CUGGGUGGCUCAGUCGGUUGAGCGUCCGACUUCAGCUCAGGUCAUGAUCUCAAGGUUCGUGCGUUCCAGCCCCAUGUCGGGUUCAGUGCUGACAGCUCAGAGCCUGGAGCCUGCUUCGGAUUCUGUGUCUCUCUCUCUCUGCCCCACUUGCACUCUCUCUCUCUCUCUCAAAAAUGAACAUUAAAAAAAAUUUUUUUAAAUAAAUAAAUAAAAUCCCUCCCACCAGAGCAAUAGGAAGGAACUUUUCUUGGGUGGUGAUAAUGUGCUACAUUUUGAUAGGGGCUGUGUUAUUUGUCAAAACGCAUGGGAUGGUUCACUAAAGGUUU
Leopardus geoffroyi (Geoffroy's cat) is the source of this 326-nucleotide long non-coding RNA. RefSeq lists it as uncharacterized. NCBI's taxonomy places the organism in Eukaryota, Metazoa, Chordata, Mammalia, Carnivora, Felidae. The transcript has 3 exons. The record is from RefSeq and is a predicted model, not a curated record.